GAACGCUAGCUACAGGCUUAACACAUGCAAGUCGAGGGGCAGCAUGGAGUUGCUUGCAAACUCUGAUGGCGACCGGCGCACGGGUGAGUAACGCGUAUCCAACCUUCCCUAUAGUAGAGGAUAGCCCGGCGAAAGUCGGAUUAAUACUCUAUGUUUUCCGUUGCAGACAUCUAAGAUGGAACAAAGGCUUGCCGCUAUAGGAUGGGGAUGCGUCUGAUUAGGUAGUCGGCGGGGUAACGGCCCACCGAGCCAUCGAUCAGUAGGGGUUCUGAGAGGAAGGUCCCCCACAUUGGAACUGAGACACGGUCCAAACUCCUACGGGAGGCAGCAGUGAGGAAUAUUGGUCAAUGGGCGAGAGCCUGAACCAGCCAAGUAGCGUGCAGGAUGACGGCCCUAUGGGUUGUAAACUGCUUUUAUGCGGGGAUAAAGUUCACUACGUGUAGUGUUUUGUAGGUACCGCAUGAAUAAGGACCGGCUAAUUCCGUGCCAGCCGCUGC
RNAcentral lists this ribosomal RNA (497 nucleotides) under uncultured bacterium. RNAcentral describes it as "bacterial SSU rRNA". It matches the Rfam family "Bacterial small subunit ribosomal RNA", at positions 31 to 518 of the family's 1533-position model. The record is from RNAcentral.